RNAcentral lists this ribosomal RNA (253 nucleotides) under uncultured bacterium. Its description in RNAcentral is "partial 16S ribosomal RNA". It matches the Rfam family "Bacterial small subunit ribosomal RNA", at positions 524 to 776 of the family's 1533-position model. The record is from RNAcentral.
UACGUAAGUGGCAAGCGUUAUCCGGAAUUAUUGGGCGUAAAGCGCGCGCAGGUGGUUUCUUAAGUCUGAUGUGAAAGCCCACGGCUCAACCGUGGAGGGUCAUUGGAAACUGGGAGACUUGAGUGCAGAAGAGGAAAGUGGAAUUCCAUGUGUAGCGGUGAAAUGCGUAGAGAUAUGGAGGAACACCAGUGGCGAAGGCGACUUUCUGGUCUGUAACUGACACUGAGGCGCGAAAGCGUGGGGAGCAAACAGG